This 593-nucleotide ribosomal RNA is filed under the name Allobosea sp. H5.59. RNAcentral describes it as "bacterial SSU rRNA". It matches the Rfam family "Bacterial small subunit ribosomal RNA", at positions 91 to 719 of the family's 1533-position model. Lineage: Bacteria; Pseudomonadati; Pseudomonadota; Alphaproteobacteria; Hyphomicrobiales; Alloboseaceae. The record is from RNAcentral.
GCUAGUGGCAGACGGGUGAGUAACGCGUGGGAACGUACCUUUCGGUUCGGAAUAAUUCAGGGAAACUUGGACUAAUACCGGAUACGCCCUUCGGGGGAAAGAUUUAUCGCCGAUAGAUCGGCCCGCGUCUGAUUAGCUAGUUGGUGAGGUAAUGGCUCACCAAGGCGACGAUCAGUAGCUGGUCUGAGAGGAUGAUCAGCCACAUUGGGACUGAGACACGGCCCAAACUCCUACGGGAGGCAGCAGUGGGGAAUAUUGGACAAUGGGCGCAAGCCUGAUCCAGCCAUGCCGCGUGAGUGAUGAAGGCCUUAGGGUUGUAAAGCUCUUUUGUCCGGGAAGAUAAUGACUGUACCGGAAGAAUAAGCCCCGGCUAACUUCGUGCCAGCAGCCGCGGUAAUACGAAGGGGGCUAGCGUUGCUCGGAAUCACUGGGCGUAAAGGGCGCGUAGGCGGACUUUUAAGUCGGGGGUGAAAGCCCAGGGCUCAACCCUGGAAUUGCCUUCGAUACUGGGAGUCUUGAGUUCGGAAGAGGUUGGUGGAACUGCGAGUGUAGAGGUGAAAUUCGUAGAUAUUCGCAAGAACACCAGUGGCGAA